GACGAACGCUGGCGGCGUGCCUAAUACAUGCAAGUCGAACGCUUCUUUCCUCCCGAGCGCUUGCACUCAAUUGGAAAGAGGAGUGGCGGACGGGUGAGUAACACGCGGGUAACCUACCCAUCAGAGGGGGAUAACACUUGGAAACAGGUGCUAAUACCGCAUAACAGUUUAUGCCGCAUGGCAUAAGAGUGAAAGGCGCUUUCGGGUGUCGCUGAUGGAUGGACCCGCGGUGCAUUAGCUAGUUGGUGAGGUAACGGCUCACCAAGGCCACGAUGCAUAGCCGACCUGAGAGGGUGAUCGGCCACACUGGGACUGAGACACGGCCCAGACUCCUACGGGAGGCAGCAGUAGGGAAUCUUCGGCAAUGGACGAAGGUCUGACCGAGCAACGCCGCGUGAGUGAAGAAGGUUUUCGGAUCGUAAAACUCUGUUGUUAGAGAAGAACAAGGACGUUAGUAACUGAACGUCCCCUGACGGUAUCUAACCAGAAAGCCACGGCUAACUACGUG
RNAcentral lists this ribosomal RNA (508 nucleotides) under uncultured bacterium. Its description in RNAcentral is "partial 16S ribosomal RNA". It matches the Rfam family "Bacterial small subunit ribosomal RNA", at positions 28 to 507 of the family's 1533-position model. The record is from RNAcentral.